AACGAACGCUGGCGGCAGGCCUAACACAUGCAAGUCGAGCGCCCUUUCGGGGGAGCGGCGGACGGGUGAGUAACGCGUGGGAAUAUGCCCUUCUCUACGGAAUAGCCUCGGGAAACUGAGAGUAAUACCGUAUACGCCCUGUGGGGGAAAGAUUUAUCGGGGAAGGAUUAGCCCGCGUUGGAUUAGGUAGUUGGUGGGGUAAUGGCCUACCAAGCCGACGAUCCAUAGCUGGUUUGAGAGGAUGAUCAGCCACACUGGGACUGAGACACGGCCCAGACUCCUACGGGAGGCAGCAGUGGGGAAUCUUAGACAAUGGGGGCAACCCUGAUCUAGCCAUGCCGCGUGAGUGAUGAAGGCCUUAGGGUUGUAAAGCUCUUUCAGCUGGGAAGAUAAUGAUGGUACCAGCAGAAGAAGCCCCGGCUAACUCCGUG
RNAcentral lists this ribosomal RNA (431 nucleotides) under uncultured bacterium. RNAcentral describes it as "partial 16S ribosomal RNA". It matches the Rfam family "Bacterial small subunit ribosomal RNA", at positions 29 to 507 of the family's 1533-position model. The record is from RNAcentral.